AGCGGCGGACGGGUGAGUAAUGCUUGGGAACAUGCCUUGAGGUGGGGGACAACAGUUGGAAACGACUGCUAAUACCGCAUAAUGUCUACGGACCAAAGGGGGCUUCGGCUCUCGCCUUUAGAUUGGCCCAAGUGGGAUUAGCUAGUUGGUGAGGUAAUGGCUCACCAAGGCGACGAUCCCUAGCUGGUUUGAGAGGAUGAUCAGCCACACUGGGACUGAGACACGGCCCAGACUCCUACGGGAGGCAGCAGUGGGGAAUAUUGCACAAUGGGCGCAAGCCUGAUGCAGCCAUGCCGCGUGUGUGAAGAAGGCCUUCGGGUUGUAAAGCACUUUCAGUCAGGAGGAAAGGUUAGUCGUUAAUACCGGCUAGCUGUGACGUUACUGACAGAAGAAGCACCGGCUAACUCCGUGCCAGCAGCCGCGGUAAUACGGAGGGUGCGAGCGUUAAUCGGAAUUACUGGGCGUAAAGCGUACGCAGGCGGUUUGUUAAGCGAGAUGUGAAAGCCCCGGGCUCAACCUGGGAACUGCAUUUCGAACUGGCAAACUAGAGUGUGAUAGAGGGUGGUAGAAUUUCAGGUGUAGCGGUGAAAUGCGUAGAGAUCUGAAGGAAUACCGAUGGCGAAGGCAGCCACCUGG
RNAcentral lists this ribosomal RNA (636 nucleotides) under Pseudoalteromonas sp. GHL1_75. RNAcentral describes it as "bacterial SSU rRNA". It matches the Rfam family "Bacterial small subunit ribosomal RNA", at positions 94 to 732 of the family's 1533-position model. The record is from RNAcentral. Lineage: Bacteria; Pseudomonadati; Pseudomonadota; Gammaproteobacteria; Alteromonadales; Pseudoalteromonadaceae.